UGGAGGUCACUGGAAUAGACUCUUGGAUUCAUUACACCCAAGUGAAGGCCUGGAAAGCUGAUGGAGCCACCUCUGUCAACCCAGAAGAGCACCCAAAGUACCAAGGUAAAGAGAUCAGGGACUUCAAGCUAAAAAUUACAAAAGAUAUGUGUUAAUAAUUAACCUCCUAAGGAUAUUCUCUUUAUAUUCUUGCCUACGCUUGCUGUUCUUACCUUUGUUCUGUUCUAUACCAUGGAGUACAAUAUUGUUUUCAGAAUGAUUAUUUCUGUAAUCUUUGGCAUUAGGUUCUCUCCUUUUUAACUCCUUUUUUUAUAAUAUACAUAUUUGAUCCAUGCAUACUAAACCCUAUAAAACUUGUUUAUUCUCACCUAGAGACCAUGAAACUCCAAAUAGUCAGGCACCAGAGCCUCAGAUGAUGGCUCCCUUUUGCCAGGGAUGCUUAGGUAGACCUCUGGGAGGAAUCCAACCAUCAUUUUCCCAAAAACAAUGCCCCCUGUUAGCAGGAAGUAACUAAGAAUGGCCAUUGUCCAUAAUCUAAUAGUAGUUAGAUGUGCCUCUUCAGAGGGAGAAUAUGAUAGGGAUGGGAGGCAGAGAAAUUCUAGGCAGAAAAGGAAAGGGUACCUGGCAAGGACCCCACCCUCAAGCUUGGAACCAUGGACCAAAGUGUGAACUUUACACGGCCGUUUUCCUGCUCAAAUAUUGCCUUUUCCAAAACCACCCCUGGCACACCCUGUCCCCAAUCCUGUACCCACUAAAACCCCAGGCUCUUCUGGCAGAGGGCAGAGAAGGGGAGAAGAGAAGCAGCAGCUGAACAUUGGAGAGAAACAGUUUGACUUCAGAGGGAUAGCUUAAUGGUGAGACUUCAGGGGAAUAAUACCUUCCUGCUCCAUCCCCUUUCCAGCUUCCCUUCCCACCGAGAGCCACUUCCAUCGGCAAUAAAAUCUUCUGCAUUCACCACCCUUCAAUUUGUUUGUGUGACCUGCUUUUUCCUGGAUGCCAAACAAGAGCUCGAGUGUCAUGGGGAUGGACACUAAAGGCAGUGAGACUGACCUUCUAUCCUUGCUGGUGGAGAGCAACCACCUCAUGUGAAAAGGCAGAGUGCUCACUGAGCUGCUUAACACUUAAGCCGUCCAUGAGUGACAAAGCUAAAGAGUACACUGUAACACAUGCCCUCUGGGGCUUUGUGGGGGGUCAUGGGUACUCUCCCCUAGAUUCUGCCAUAGGGCCCACAGAGUUUUGCUCCUGCCAGUGCCCAGAAACACUCGCCCUGGCUCAUGCACCCACUCACUGUCAGGCUUCUGAGCUCAAGCUAAGCCAUCAUAUCCCCUGUGACCUGCACGUACACAUCCAGAUGGUCGGUUCCUGCCUUAACUGAGGACAUUCCACCACAAAAUAAGUGAAAAUGGCCUGUUCCUGCCUUAACUGAUGACUGUCUUGUGAAAUUCCUUCUCCUGGCUCAUCCUGGCUCAAAAGCUCCCCUACUGAGCACCUGGUGACAUCCACUCUGCCCACCAGAGAACAACCCCCCUUUGACUGUAAUUUUCCUUUACCUACCCAAAUGGUAUAAAACGGCCCCACCCCUAUCUCCCUUUGCUGACUGUCUUUUCUGACUCAGCCCGCCUGCACCCAGGUGAAAUAAACAGCCAUGUUGCUCACAGAAAGCCUGUUUGGUGGUCUCUUCACACGGACGUGAAUGAAAUUUGGUGCCGUGACUCGGAUCGGGGGACCUCCCUUGGGAAAUCAAUCCCCGGUCCUCCUGCUCUUUGCUCCAUGAGAAAGAUCCACCUAUGACCUCAUGUCCUCAGAGCAACCAGCCCAAGAAGCAUUUCACCAAUUUCAAAUCCGGUAAGCGGCCUCUUCUUACUCUCUUCUCCAACCUGUCUCACUGUCCCUCAACCACUUUCUCCUUUCCACUCUUCAAUCUCUCCCUUCUCUUAAUUUCAAUUCCUUUCAUUUUCUGGGAGAGACAAAGGAGACAUGUUUUAUCUGUGGACCCAAAACUCCGGCGCAGGUCACGGACUGGGAAGGCAGCCUUCCCUUGGUGUUUAAUCAUUUCAGGGAUGCCUCUCUGAUUAUACACCCACGUUUCAAGGGUGUCAGACUACGCAGGGAUGCCUGCCUUGGUCCUUCACCCUUAGCGGCAAGUCCUGCUUUUCUGGGGAAGGGGCAAGUACCCCAACCCCUUCUCUCCAUGUCUCUACCCCCUCUCUGCCUUUCUUGGGGGCAAGAAACCCCCAACCCCUUCUCCUUCACCUUUAGCGGCAAGUCCUACUUUUCUGGGGGAGGGGCAAGUACCCUAACCUCAUAUCUCUGAGCCCCAAUCCCUUAUUUCCACACCCCGACCUCGUAUCUCUGUGCCCUGAGCCCUUUCCUGCUUUUCUGGAGGGUAAGAACCCCCAAAGCCCUUCCCUCCAUGUCUCUACUCUCUCUUUUCUCUGGGCUUGCUUCCUUCACUAUGGGCAACCUUCCACCCUCCAUUCCUCCUCCUCCUCCCUUAGCCUGUAUUAAGAACUUAAAACCUCUUCAACUCUCACCUGACCUAAAAUCUAAGCAUCUUAUUUUCUUCUGCAAUGCCGCUUGACCCCAAUACAAACUCAACAGUAGUUCCAAAUAGCCAGAAAAAGGCACUUUCAAUUUUUCCAUCCUGCAAAAUCUAAAUAAUUCUUGCUGUAAAAUAGGCAAACGGUCUGAGGUGCCUGACGUCCAGGCAUUCUUUUACACAUCGGUGCCUUCCUAGUCUCUGUGCCCAAUGCAACUCGUCCCAAAUCUUCCUCCUUUCCCUCCCACCUGUCCCCUCAGUCCCAACCCCAAGCAUCACUGAGUCUUUCUAAUCUUCCUUUUCUACAGACCCAUCUGAUCUCUCCCCUCCUCGCCAGGCUGAGCUAGAUCCCAAUUCUUCCUCAGCCUCCGCUCCUCCACCCUAUAAUCCUUUUAUCACCCUCCUCCUCACACCGGUUCCAGCUUACAGUUUCCUUCCACUGCUAGCCCUCCCCCACCUGCCCAGCAAUUUCCUCUUAAAAAGGUGGCUGAAGCUAAAGGCAUAGUCAAGGUUAAUUCUCCUUUUUCUUUAUCCAUCCUCUCCCAAAUCAGUUAGCAUUUAGAUUCUUUUUCAUCAAAUUUUAAAAACCCAGCCCAGUUCAUGGCUCGUUCAGCAGCAACCCUGAGAUGCUUUACAGCCCUAGACCCUAAAAAGUCAAAAGGCCGUCUUAUUCUCAAUAUACAUUUUAUUACCCAAUCUGCUCCCGACAUUAAAUAAAACUCCAAAAAUUAAAUUCUGGCCCUCAAACUCCACAACAGGACUUAAUUAACCUCGCCUUCAAGGUGUACAAUAAUAGAAAAAAGUUGCAAUUCCUUGCCUCCACUGUGAGACAAACCCCAGCCACAUCUCCAGCACACAAGAACUUCCAAACGCCUGAACCGCAGUGGCCAGGCGUUCCUCCAGAAUCUCCUCCCCCAGGAGCUUGCUACAAGUGCCAGAAAUCUGACCACCAGGCCAAGGAAUGCCUGCAGCCCAGGAUUCCUCCUAAGCCAUGUCCCAUCUGUGUGGGACCCCACUGGAAAUCAGACUGUUCAACUCACCUGGCAGCUACUCCCAGAGCCCCUGGAACUCCGACCCAAGGCUCUCUGACUGACUCCUUCUCGGCUUAGCAGCUGAAGACCGACGCUGCCCGAUCACCUCGGAAGCCCCGUAGACCAUUAUGGAUGCCGAGCUUUAGCUCUGAAAGUUCCCAAAUUUCAGGACUCUCCUGAUUUCUUGUUCCUGUUCUAAAAGCAGCAAAUUAUUUCCUGACAGACCCUCCUCCUUGCAGUAAGUUGCCAAACUCAGCCAACAACUCAGCCAACAACAACAAAAACACACUGGUCAUUGGCUACAAUUAUUGACACAGUUGCACCCAGUGACAAAGGGGCCAAGAAAUGCAGUUCUCCCAUGUGCACUCAGGUGGAAAACAUCAUGAAUGGCUGAGGCAACAUGGUUGCUACCAGAGUUAGGAAAGGAAAAGAUCAUGAAACUAACCUCCCAAGCAAUGGGUAGCCUGCUCGAUGUUGACCCCUGCCAGGGGAGGAAAUAAUAUUUAAUUGUAAAUAAUGUUCAGAGUUUUGAUUAUUGCAUUAUAUUGAUCACCCUAAGUUGAUUAUGUUUUAUGACUCUAGGUGUCAUUGGACUGUUUAUUAUCAAAUAGCAAGAAAAAAAUUAUGGAUCUAUCUACAGUUUUCAUUCUAUGGCCCUACUGGAUAAAUUUCAAGGUGACAGAUGUGAGACACAAACAAAUUUUCCUUUUGAUGACAAGAGUUGUACCUGUUUGGCCAUUAAAUGACCAUUUAAAUCACCAUUAAACGCCCACCUCCAUCAUCAUCAUCAGUUGCACUUAUGUUUAUGAAAGCCAUGGAUUGGUGAGCACAUCAGCUCAAGCUCGCCUAGCUGUCAUCGGUCAAUAAUCCAUAAAGGAGAAGGAAAAAUUUCCUCCAGAAUCAAAACCCAUGCCUGGCUCUUUGAUUGAAAGUACCAUACAACAAUUCAUUUUUAAGUUUUUUUUUUUAAUUCUCCGAAGCACUCUGUCUCAGAUUGCAAGUACUUUGGUUGCAAGCACUACCAGGUGACUUUGGCAAAAUUAAGCUAAAAUAUAUUUAAUGGGUGCACAUGAGGUAGCUCAGAGGGUUUAAAUGAGGGCUAAAGAACUAAACUUGAAACAGAUAUGAAAAGGAAGCUGUAGAGACUCAGUGGCACUGAUUGUUAGGUUGUUUCUACAUUGCUAAGAUGAAUAAACAAAUUCCAAAUUUUCUCUUGUCUUAGUCACUCCUCUAAUGAUUCAAUUUCUGAAGAGAGAGGGUUGAUUGGUUAAACUUAGUUUGAUUACUUGCCCACUCAUUCUUUACUGUAUCUUUGCAGUGAGAAGAAUUAUGUAGUUUUGAUGGAAGAAGUCUCCAGGGUUACAAAUUUUCUCUUCUUCUGUUGGUGGCAGAGCACAGUACCUUAUGUUACCAUUCUUAGGAACAGUGAUAGUGGUUGUGUGGUAGCCAUAAAACAAAACAAAAAUGCCUGUAAUCAGUUCACCUUGUUGUAUGAAUGUAAAAUGUUUGAAGAAUAUAACUUUAAUAUUUUUCUCCUUAAUGUAAAGAGCAACAUUUUCAGAAAAAUAUUCUGGGAAGAAGUUUUGGGUCAAUAACAUGCUUCCUAGGUAAAUUAUCAACAACAAGGUACAAAAAGACAUGCUUGAAAAAAAUGAUAAAAUCAUCUUAUCUAAGCCACUUGAUUCUUGAUCCCCUCUUUCCUGGUAUUGCAUUCUGCUUUGAAAACCAAGCAGAGUAGCAACUAAAAGUUUCAGGCUUUAUAAAGACAUGUCUUUGGGAAAAUUUCCUGCUCUGUCCCCAGAUUUAGCCAUUCCCUAGAUGCUGGUAACCUAAUGUAAUUUCCUCAAUGCAAAUCAACUGAUUUAUUUGAGCCUUUCCCUGACCCUGACUAUUAAUUCUUGAUGGAGGCGAGGCCCCGAGGUUGGUAAUGCGAUGGUAGCGGACGGAGUGAAUUAUGAUUGUGUUGAUUUCUUGGAGCCUUCUAUAACACGUUGAAGGAUUAUUCAAUGCCUUGUCAUUACAAAUAAGCUAGUACAAAACAAAGAUGCAGUAUUCAUUCGAUCUAUAAUACAAGUAUUAGAGCUAACAUGGUAGAAUGGGGGAAGCUCUAGAAAAAAAGGAAAACUAUGUUUUCUUUCUGCAUGAAAGACAGCAAGAAAAAGCUACUUUAACAUGCAUUGUGUGUUGAUGUUUUCUGUGCAUUUCUCUGUCUAUGCAUAAAAAAUUAAACCUUUUGACUGGUUAGCAGUUGGCCAUGAUUCAUUUUUAUUCACCACUGUCCAUAACUGGAUUAAAUAAUUAUAAUUCAUCUUAACCAUCUGAGACUCUCCCUGACAUUUGGAUGCCUCUGCCCUGCUGCUCACUUAUGCUUAAGUUUGUACCUGCUCAUUAACUGAUUUGUCCUAAAAAUAACUUUGAAAGUCUCAGUUCCUGAGCUGUUAGCAGUUAGCCUACAAAGCUAAGGUUAUAAAAUCAGCAUCUGGCUAGAGCUCAAAAAGCUGACUCUGUUCUCAUUUUUAAGGCUAAGAUAAAGAAAUGUAUAUUUAAACCUGCUUCUAAUUAGCUCUUAAACUGUAAAUCACUGAAGGCUAUCAUGAAGGAGGUGUCUCAUCGUACUGAAGGGUUUGUUACUUCAUUCCUGGCUUCAGAAUUCAUUAUGAAUUAGACAUGUGAAAGCUACCAUCUCUUGCCUAUCCCACAAAAUCUCAAGGUAAAACACGUAGUAAUGGCACUCUGUUUUGUGGUUAAAUAUUUCCAUGCAGAAGUUUUGCAUUUUUAAGAAAUAAACUUAUCAACCUACUUUAAAUUGAUUUAAUUCUAGAUAUUUCAGAAUCACUGCAUUUGGGAGUGCCAGAAUUUAUUUGAUAAUAUUUGCAUUUCAUCUUUAAGUAUUUACAAGUUUGGCUAAAACAAUUCUUAACUUUUAUAGCAAAAGACAAUUCAGAGAUAAUUCCAUGUAUAUAAAUAUUCUAGAGAAAAGAAACAUUUUCUCUUUCUCCUAUGUUCACAUGGGGGCAUAAUGGGUAAUUUCCUUUCUGAAAAAGAAGCAAAACUACUUUAUAUUUUAAUACUAAUUAAUUAGACAUUUAAUUCAAUUAAAUAGACUGGUUAGCAAAAUCAAGCUGUGGUGAAGAGUAGAGGACAAAGUUGAACAAUUUGAAAUAUUAGAGUUUACAGUUAAAUUGUAUAAUAUUUUGUAUAAGUCUUCAUCCACUGAUUUGUCACUUGUAGUUUGUACAAUUGUUGGUUCACAAAACAUUAUUUUGUAUUCUAAACUACGUGACGACAGACAUCUUUAAGUGCUUCUCUU
This 6880-nucleotide long non-coding RNA is filed under the name Homo sapiens (human). RNAcentral's name for it is "HSALNT0092355". Lineage: Eukaryota; Metazoa; Chordata; Mammalia; Primates; Hominidae. The record is from RNAcentral.